This 292-nucleotide ribosomal RNA is filed under the name uncultured bacterium. RNAcentral's name for it is "partial 16S ribosomal RNA". It matches the Rfam family "Bacterial small subunit ribosomal RNA", at positions 505 to 796 of the family's 1533-position model. The record is from RNAcentral.
GUGCCAGCAGCCGCGGUAAUACGGAGGGUGCGAGCGUUGUUCGGAAUUAUUGGGCGUAAAGGGCGCGCAGGCGGUUUGUUAAGUCUGAUGUGAAAGCCCCGGGCCCAACCCGGGAAGUGCAUUGGAUACUGGCAGACUUGAGUACGGGAGAGGAGAGCGGAAUUCCUGGUGUAGGGGUGAAAUCCGCAGAUAUCAGGAAGAACACCGGCGGCGAAGGCGGCUCUCUGGACCGAUACUGACGCUGAGGCGCGAAAGCAUGGGGAGCAAACAGGAUUAGAAACCCGCGUAGUCC